AUAAAUAAAUACUUUGAGCACAUUUUAUUUUGCCAACUCAAUGAAGAAGAUGUAAUGAUCAUGCCCCUUUCACAGAUGAAGGAACUGUGACUUGAGAGGCUAAGCAGCUAUUCAGAGAUGCACCACAGUUGAUCAAACAGGACUUGCACCCAGAUUGGAUGAUUCUAGAGCUCCAGUUUAUAGCCACUGACGCAUAGUGCUUCCCGGUGAUUUUUUUUUCUCAAAAAACUUUUUUUUUUUUUUUGCUUUUAUUUCCUCUGGAGUCCAGCUCUGCAGUUCGUUCAUUAAUCUACUUAUUUACACUCUUUUUUUUUUUCAGAAAUGAUGUAAGAUGGUUUACGAAAUGCAUUUAACAUAGUAAGUUAAAAUUAGCUUAAAAGUAGGUAAGAAAGGAAGGCCAAAAUUUAGGGCAUAAAAAGAAGUUGGAGCAAGAAGUGAAGCUAGUACAUAAAAAUGCGUGUCACAAGGUCCUGUACACUUGAUAGAAAAGGGUCUCAGCUCUGGCUCUGUUUCCUGGCAGCCAAUCAAAGAAGGGAGCAUAACUAGUUAUAAUAUUUAGUGUGUUUGUAAGAUAAAAACACAUCAGUUACUCAGAUGAAUGAGUAAUUCCUACCACUGAGACCUGAGUGAAACUUCUUUGUGGAUUCUCGCAGACGAGGUGGUGUGAGACAUAAUGACACAUAUUCUUACAGUAUUAGCAGCCAAGUCUCUUAGGGGAGAAUCUUCAGGUGGGCUGAGAGGGCGGGCGGGAAGGGGUAAACACGCGUAUGGGUAUAGCGGGACUGACUGUCAAGCAAUUCAGGCUAGACUUCUGUCUUUAGGAUCAGCAUAGAGGAUGAAAUGGAAUGCAGAAGCAUCCGCAUCAAUGGGUCAAUUAUGUAUGAGUAUCUACCGCUGUUUGAAUUAGCACAUUAAGCCAGUAUCUCAAAUCCCCUUACACACAGGUGGGGUCCACCAACAAAUGCAUAAUAUACCUCAAAAGCCAAUUUUGGGAGUGGGACUCUGCCUUCUCUCUUACUUUAAAAAAAUUGGAAUUAUCUACUUUCACUGAUGCCAUUUUUCUGUUUCUUCUAUUCUUAGGUAAAGAGUCCCAUGAAAGGGUGAAUGAUCCAUAUUAAAGCACCCUCUGUGAAAGAAAAUUCUUGAGAUACUGAAGUGUCGCUGGAUCCUUCAAAUCCCUCCCUGAAAAGUAUCGCAUGGUGGUGUCUCCUACAUUGAAGAUGAAGUGUGUCUCCUUCAGCGCCUCUGGAAAGAUUCCUGCAGGACCGGCAGAUCUUUCUGCUCCCAUUGUGCCCCUCACCCAUCCCUGCAGCCCAGCUACAGUUGUGCUUUACAUAGCUCAGUGUUUUAUUCUUUUCAUGGACCAUGGGGGGAGAAGAUUGCUAUGGAAUAUAAAGAUGUCCUAUUUUGCUCUCUAUCUUGACUCCAUUUCCAGGUACAGCUCAGUGCUGUGCAUGAUGACCUUAAAUACAGUGGAAACUUGAUUGUGUGCCUACAGACUCGGUUUUGUUGCAAGUCACAUUUUAUCACCCCUGCCCUCCAGUCGCCUCUAGGGGUGCAUUCUUAGAGAUAAGUUCACAAAAGUGAUGUUACUCUUGCUUCCCAACUCUAGCGAAGUAAUGGGGUUCAGCUCCAAACAGAGAAAGUGCUACUUGCACAGUAGCCUCACCUUCUGUAAAUGGAGGCCAUCCUAUUUAAUUGCCCCCAGCCUCCCCACCUUCUGUCUUCUCUUCCCAGUUGGCUGGCUUCCACAUGUAGCAUUUCAUGAGCAUCAAACCAAGAGAGAGAAGAGAGAGAUAGCCUGCACUGAUUUUUUUGUUUGUUUGUUUUUGUUGUCAGUGUUGCUCUUUUUAUUGGACCCACCAAGAUGCCUUGUAUAUGAUGCUUUUUUUUUUUUAGUGACCACUAUAUUGUUAAUAAAAAACAUCACCAGAAAGCUAACUGCA
Ailuropoda melanoleuca (giant panda) is the source of this 1946-nucleotide long non-coding RNA. RefSeq lists it as uncharacterized. NCBI's taxonomy places the organism in Eukaryota, Metazoa, Chordata, Mammalia, Carnivora, Ursidae. The transcript has 2 exons. The record is from RefSeq and is a predicted model, not a curated record.